CAACUCGUCAAAGAGUCGGUUCAAAGAGUCGGUUCAAAGUGUCGGUUCAAAGACUCAAGUCGGUUUUCCAAAAGUGAAAGUGUUUCUUACCCUCGACUCCAUGUGGAGCAGCAGUUGGAAAAACAAAAAGAUCUUCAACAGCAGACAGAAGCGGUGAGAUUCAUGUCCAACAACAAGCAGUGCAGAAGAAAAGAGAACUGCUGGAUUCUUUAUGGAAAUACAUGGAUGUGAUUAUGGAGUGUGAUUGAUUCCAGCAGAAGAGAUCGGCGUCUUCAGGACUCUGCAUGUACACAAGCAGUGAAAAAUGGAGAUCCCUGACCAGGGGACAGAUCAUGUGACCUCACCCUCAAAAGACUGUAAACUACAGAGAGAGAAAUCACACUCACCAGUGCCCAGCUGUGUCUCCAUGAAGAGUGAUGCGUCUAUGUUUCGUCCUUGGGAAUUUAGCACUGGAUUCUCCUCACCUGGACACAGUGUUCUACAGAAGGCAGGAGACAGAAGAGAGAAGAACAUCAUCACAGCUACAGG
This is a long non-coding RNA of Silurus meridionalis, 528 nucleotides long. RefSeq lists it as uncharacterized. NCBI's taxonomy places the organism in Eukaryota, Metazoa, Chordata, Actinopteri, Siluriformes, Siluridae. The transcript is spliced from 4 exons. The record is from RefSeq and is a predicted model, not a curated record.